ACGCUGGCGGCAGGCCUAACACAUGCAAGUCGAGCGGUAGAGAGAAGCUUGCUUCUCUUGAGAGCGGCGGACGGGUGAGUAAUGCCUAGGAAUCUGCCUGGUAGUGGGGGAUAACGUUCGGAAACGGACGCUACUACCGCAUACGUCCUACGGGAGAAAGCAGGGGACCUUCGGGCCUUGCGCUAUCAGAUGAGCCUAGGUCGGAUUAGCUAGUUGGUGGGGUAAUGGCUCACCAAGGCGACGAUCCGUAACUGGUCUGAGAGGAUGAUCAGUCACACUGGAACUGAGACACGGUCCAGACUCCUACGGGAGGCAGCAGUGGGGAAUAUUGGACAAUGGGCGAAAGCCUGAUCCAGCCAUGCCGCGUGUGUGAAGAAGGUCUUCGGAUUGUAAAGCACUUUAAGUUGGGAGGAAGGGCAGUAAAUUAAUACUUUGCUGUUUUGACGUUACCGACAGAAUAAGCACCGGCUAACUCUGUGCCAGCAGCCGCGGUAAUACAGAGGGUGCAAGCGUUAAUCGGAAUUACUGGGCGUAAAGCGCGCGUAGGUGGUUAGUUAAGUUGGAUGUGAAAUCCCCGGGCUCAACCUGGGAACUGCAUUCAAAACUGACUGACUAGAGUAUGGUAGAGGGUGGUGGAAUUUCCUGUGUAGCGGUGAAAUGCGUAGAUAUAGGAAGGAACACCAGUGGCGAAGGCGACCACCUGGGCUGAUACUGACACUGAGGUGCGAAAGCGUGGGGAGCAAAC
RNAcentral lists this ribosomal RNA (745 nucleotides) under uncultured bacterium. Its description in RNAcentral is "bacterial SSU rRNA". It matches the Rfam family "Bacterial small subunit ribosomal RNA", at positions 33 to 773 of the family's 1533-position model. The record is from RNAcentral.